RNAcentral lists this ribosomal RNA (253 nucleotides) under uncultured bacterium. RNAcentral's name for it is "partial 16S ribosomal RNA". It matches the Rfam family "Bacterial small subunit ribosomal RNA", at positions 524 to 776 of the family's 1533-position model. The record is from RNAcentral.
UACGUAGGGUGCGAGCGUUGUCCGGAAUUAUUGGGCGUAAAGAGCUUGUAGGCGGUCUGUCGCGCCUGCUGUGAAAAUCCGGGGCUCAACCCCGGACUUGCAGUGGGUACGGGCAGACUAGAGUGUGGUAGGGGAGACUGGAAUUCCUGGUGUAGCGGUGAAAUGCGCAGAUAUCAGGAGGAACACCGAUGGCGAAGGCAGGUCUCUGGGCCACUACUGACGCUGAGAAGCGAAAGCAUGGGGAGCGAACAGG